RNAcentral lists this ribosomal RNA (336 nucleotides) under Vibrio parahaemolyticus. RNAcentral describes it as "partial 23S ribosomal RNA". It matches the Rfam family "Bacterial large subunit ribosomal RNA", at positions 203 to 586 of the family's 2925-position model. The record is from RNAcentral. Lineage: Bacteria; Pseudomonadati; Pseudomonadota; Gammaproteobacteria; Vibrionales; Vibrionaceae.
UAAGUACCCCGAGGAAAAGAAAUCAACCGAGAUUCCGAAAGUAGCGGCGAGCGAAAUUGGACUAGCCCUUAAGCUUUACACGCGUUAGACGAACGGUCUGGAAAGUCCGACGAUACAGGGUGAUAGUCCCGUAGUUGACGACGUGUGUUCAGUGAAAUCGAGUAGGGCGGGACACGUGAUAUCCUGUCUGAAUAUGGGGGGACCAUCCUCCAAGGCUAAAUACUACUGACUGACCGAUAGUGAACCAGUACCGUGAGGGAAAGGCGAAAAGAACCCCUGUGAGGGGAGUGAAAUAGAACCUGAAACCGUGUACGUACAAGCAGUAGGAGCAGGCUU